CUGUCCGGGAGGGAGACAGCUUUGUUAUCAACUGCACUUACACAGACAGUGCCUCCGACUACUUCUUUUGGGGUAAGCAGCCAAAAGAUGGAACAGAAUCCACAGUCCCUGAGCAUCCAGGAAGGUGAGAAGGCGGUGCUGACCUGUAACUACACGAAUUAUUCUCCAGUGGUCUUCCAGUGGUAUCGACAAGAUCUGGGAAGAGACCUUGUCUUCUUGCUACUAAUACGUGAAAAUGAGGGUGAAAAACAGACAGGAAGACUGAGGGCCACCUUUGAUAAGACCCUCCAGCAGAGUUCCUUUUUUAUCAUGAAGUCCCAGCCUGCAGACUCAGCCACCUACUUCUGUGCUGCAGACACACAGCAGGGCCCUGCCACCUGCUUCCUGCACCCAAACUCUGCCAGUGGCUCAGUCAGCAGAGCUGCUGGCUGUGUUGACCUCAAGGGCUGACCCCAGCUCCAGGCCGAACAAGUGGGGGCCACUUGAAAGGGUUAAAGGCUGUGAGCCAGAGCCCUGGAUCUACCUCCAGCCUCUGAGUCUCUCCCUGCUGAUACCGCUGUGUGACUAUGAGCGGCUCCUGAGAAUCGCUGGUCUCAUUUGCCUCAUCGGAUCAUGAAGGGCUUACCACAUGAUUCUCAAGUUUGUCUCAGCAAUGAAAUCCAAACAGUCUAAUUUUUUAGGAAAAAGAAAUAUGCCCUGAAGAAUGUCAGAGAUCAAGAAAAGAGGAUUUAUGUGCAUGCAUGCACAUGUUUGUGUAUAUGUGUAUCUGUGUGCGUGUUUAAGGACAAUUAAUUCUGCCCAGUUUUUAUGACUAGGCCAGAACAGCCUGAGACAUAUAUAGGGUUAAACACAUUCCUUUUAAACAUUAACUGUAUAUUCCUCCACAUAAACAACAACAGCAAACAAACCAGUCUAAACAUUCCUGGGACCCUUUUAAACUGAACCUCAAAUAAUGAUGAUGGUAAAAAGAAAAAAUUGACCUGUGUUUAAAAAAAAAAAUUCAACCAAGUAAAAUUGAAGAUCUAAUUGUCUUUGUUAAAUAAUUCUUGCACUGAACAGCAUUCUAUCCAGUAAGCAGAGGGAAGAUCUGCAGAGCUGCAGGAAAGGAAAGGUUUUUUUUUUUAAAGGCUGAGAGAAGGCAUAAAAAAAAAAAGCAUUUAUUAGGAAGGAAUCCAGUGUUUAGGCAAGGUUGCCCUCCUAAGAGGGGUGGGGCCUUUCAGGAGACUGCCUCUGGAAAAUUCCAUCUUGGCCGGUUAAAAGUCCAUUCCUGAGGGGGUUGAAACUGUAGUUAGGUUAGUUAUUAAAUUUUGGUUUACUGAUUGGGGCCUUAAGUGGCUCUAUUAUGGAUAUGUGGUUUUUCUUUUGAACACUUAUAUUCUUUGAUAUUACUCAUCUUGUGAAGGAAGGGCCAGACUAUACUGGGCAACAUGCCAUAAGUCAUGAACACCACAAAGAUGGAUUUAGUGCUGUAGGAAAGACAUUAGAGUUCGAAGCCGACAGCCAAGAAAGAGCUCUUGAGAUGUCUUACGCACAAAAAAGAUGGUUUUAUCGAAGCACAGGAAUAGGGCCCAUGGGCAGAA
This is a non-coding RNA of Neogale vison (American mink), 1580 nucleotides long. The record is from the annotation of a RefSeq genome assembly. NCBI's taxonomy places the organism in Eukaryota, Metazoa, Chordata, Mammalia, Carnivora, Mustelidae.